This 71-nucleotide transfer RNA is filed under the name Stegodyphus mimosarum. It matches the Rfam family "tRNA". From Rfam's summary of the family: Transfer RNA (tRNA) molecules are approximately 80 nucleotides in length. The record is from Rfam by way of RNAcentral. Lineage: Eukaryota; Metazoa; Arthropoda; Arachnida; Araneae; Eresidae.
GCCUUCGUGGCGUAACGGUAGCACACUCGACUCGUAUUCGAAAGGUCCAGGUUUGAGUCCCGGUGAGGGUA